This 84-nucleotide transfer RNA is filed under the name Mustela putorius furo (domestic ferret). It matches the Rfam family "tRNA". Rfam says of the family: Transfer RNA (tRNA) molecules are approximately 80 nucleotides in length. The record is from Rfam by way of RNAcentral. Lineage: Eukaryota; Metazoa; Chordata; Mammalia; Carnivora; Mustelidae.
ACCUGAGUGGCUCAGUAGGUUAGGCGUCUGCCUUUGGCUCAGGUCAUGAUUCCAGGAUUGCAGGUUCAAGUCCUGCAUCAGGCU